Molecule: long non-coding RNA, 1057 nt
Filed under: Olea europaea (common olive)
Lineage: Eukaryota; Viridiplantae; Streptophyta; Magnoliopsida; Lamiales; Oleaceae
Description: long non-coding RNA (OEUR_LNC013618)
Source: RNAcentral
AUUUAACUGAGUUAUUAAAUUUAGGAACUUGCUAACAUCUAUGAAAAUUUCAUCAGGAAACAUAACUUAAACAUCUUCAGGAGGAUCCUCCAGCUCAAUCUUUACUUGUAACCAUAACAUACUUAGGUCACAGAAAGAAACAAAGAAAUGAAAACAAGAAGAACUCUUGCCUCUGUUGAUUACAUUUCCAUUGAACCUUAUAUGAUUGAUUGAUUGCACUCUCAAAGAAGUAAGCUUCGAAUUCAAAACAAUUGCCAUUGGAAAAAUAAUUACAAUGAUAAGACUUGUGCCCAUUUUACAUCUGCAUCACUAGCUACAUCCAAAUUUUUACAGUUUGAGAUCAUAGUGCUUAAGGACUAUAACGAUGCUACACAAUCUGAACUACAUAAUGAGAAUGGAAGAAUAUAAAUAGACUACAAAAAUCUGUAGAUAUUCAUUAAGAAGACACUUGUCACAAACUUCUGAGAAUAUAUAUUUUUACUUUAAUUUUUAUUUGGUUUAUCUCCCAACUAAAAAACUUCAAAACUUGUCCUUAAUAGACAUCCCUCAAACAAGAAGACAAACCCCUAACUUAUACAAGUACUUAGGACUAAAUCCCGAUAAACAUGAGUAUCGACAGAUUAUUUAGCAAGAAAAUCCAAAUCACGAGACCUUUAAAGAUGAAAUUCCAUAUAAAAAGAUCAUUUUCAUCAAGAAACACAUUAUCUUAGUUGGGAAUCAAUCUCUCUCACCACUAAGUUGAAUAACUUAAAUUGAAGUAUAAUGGCCCACAGGUUUUUCAUAGCAAAACGCACUUCUGACCAGUUCACAGCUACAAAAUUCCAGAGUGGAUGGGGGUUAAAGCCAUCACUCUUUGUAUCUUUUACAUAAUUUAGUGUACUUCAACAUCCAAUCUUAAUAGGCACAUUAUACCACUACCCAGACGUAAACAUUAGAUAAGAAAAGAAGUAUAACUCAUAUGUACCAACAUAAUUUGCCAGGUAGCUACUAGUAUAAGAUCCAUCAUUGUUAUCAGAAAACAUCCAUGCGGAAGAAGCAGAUCUGUUAAUUGAAGCAA